AAAUUUCUUUUCCUCUCUCUUUCAUGUAUUUUGAAAUAAGUUGAAAGUGGUUGAAGUAUGUUGUUCCAGUGUUUUUCCUUUAUUUACUGCUUUCCUAUGUAUUUUUUAAUAUUAGUAUAUAUUAGCAUAAUGCUUUUGUUCCAAAUAUAUAUGUUAUGAGCUAUCUGGGCCAUAUAAAGCUUGCUUCAAAUCUCUGAUUGGUGUGUGUUCUCAGCAUUAACUGUUGUUGUAUGCUUUUCUGCAUGAGCUGCUAGGUCUACAUGAACACUAUCACACCAGGGGGAAGAGAAAGCGUGGUUGACAUCUUGGAACUGAAAGAGUCUCCAUCUUCCAGUCAAUUCUGUGUCAGGCUUUCAGCAACCCAUGCCAUUUCAAAUAACAUGUUGGAUCAAUCCAAUAACUUAUCAUCCUCACUAGUUGAGUGUGCCAAUAUCAAUUCUGUAUGGG
Non-coding RNA from Arachis ipaensis, 447 nucleotides. NCBI's taxonomy places the organism in Eukaryota, Viridiplantae, Streptophyta, Magnoliopsida, Fabales, Fabaceae. The record is from RefSeq and is a predicted model, not a curated record.